UACGGAAGGCAGCAGUGGGGAAUAUUGCACAAUGGGCGCAAGCCUGAUGCAGCCAUGCCGCGUGUAUGAAAAAGGCCUUCGGGUUGUAAAGUACUUUCAGUCGUGAGGAAGGUGUUAAGGUUAAUAACCUUAGCAAUUGACGUUAGCGACAGAAGAAGCACCGGCUAACCCCGUGCCAGCAGCCGCGGUAAUACGGAGGGUGCGAGCGUUAAUCGGAAUUACUGGGCGUAAAGGGCACGCAGGCGGUUAAUUAAGUUGGAUGUGAAAUCCCCGGGCUUAACCUGGGAAUGGCAUUCAAGACUGGUUAGCUAGAGUCUUGUAGAGGGGGUAGAAUUCCAUGUGUAGCGGUGAAAUGCGUAGAGAUGUGGAGGAAUACCGGUGGCGAAGGCGGCCCCUGGACAAAGACUGACGCUCAUGUGCGAAAGCGUGGGGAGCAAACAGGGAUUAGAUACC
Molecule: ribosomal RNA, 453 nt
Filed under: uncultured bacterium
Lineage: Bacteria
Description: bacterial SSU rRNA
Rfam family: Bacterial small subunit ribosomal RNA
Source: RNAcentral